UACGUAGGGUGCAAGCGUUAAUCGGAAUUACUGGGCGUAAAGCGUGCGCAGGCGGUUUUGUAAGUCUGAUGUGAAAUCCCCGGGCUCAACCUGGGAAUUGCAUUAGAGACUGCAAGGCUGGAAUCUGGCAGAGGGGGGUAGAAUUCCACGUGUAGCAGUGAAAUGCGUAGAGAUGUGGAGGAACACCGAUGGCGAAGGCAGCCCCCUGGGUCAAGAUUGACGCUCAUGCACGAAAGCGUGGGGAGCAAACAGG
Molecule: ribosomal RNA, 253 nt
Filed under: uncultured bacterium
Lineage: Bacteria
Description: partial 16S ribosomal RNA
Rfam family: Bacterial small subunit ribosomal RNA
Source: RNAcentral